RNA transcript from Chlorocebus sabaeus (green monkey), 1759 nucleotides. It is a transcript of the gene named ring finger protein 126, with no coding region annotated. The record is from RefSeq and is a predicted model, not a curated record. Lineage: Eukaryota; Metazoa; Chordata; Mammalia; Primates; Cercopithecidae.
GAGCGUGCGCGGGCGCGUCGGCCGGCGAGGGAGCAGCAAACGGCCGGCGGCUGGCGCCGCGCGGGGGGCGGGCGGCGCGGAGUAGGCGGCGGCGGCCAUGGCCGAGGCGUCGCCGCAGCCCGGACGGUACUUCUGCCACUGCUGCUCCGUGGAGAUCGUCCCGCGCCUGCCGGGGUCUCACUCCUGCGUCUUCCCGCUUCCUGUCCCCACUGGCCGUGACAGGAGGGGCUGGUUGCCUGACAGCCUGCCUGCCUGGGAUUAUAUCUGUCCAAGAUGCGAGUCUGGUUUCAUCGAGGAGCUUCCGGAAGAGACCAGGAGCACAGAAAAUGGUUCUGCCCCCUCCACAGCCCCCACGGACCAGAGCCGGCCACCGGUGGAGCACGUGGAUCAGCACCUGUUCACGCUGCCGCAGGGCUACGGACAGUUUGCUUUUGGCAUCUUCGAUGACAGCUUCGAGAUCCCCACGUUCCCUCCUGGGGCGCAGGCUGACGAAGGCAGGGACCCUGAGAGCCGGCGGGAGAGAGACCAUCCGUCCCGGCACCGGUAUGGCGCCCGGCAGCCCCGCGCCCGCCUCACCACGCGGCGGGCCACCGGCCGGCACGAAGGCGUCCCCACGCUGGAAGGGAUCAUCCAGCAGCUUGUCAAUGGCAUCAUCACGCCCGCCACCAUCCCCAGUCUGGGUCCCUGGGGAGUCCUGCACUCAAACCCUAUGGACUACGCCUGGGGUGCCAAUGGCCUGGACGCCAUCAUCACACAGGUCCUGCAGCCUCGCGUUUCAGAGCCCCGGGCCGGGCCCCCGAGGAGCUCCCGGCACUCUCGCCUCUUGUCUUUCAGCUCCUCAAUCAGUUUGAAAACACGGGCCCCCCACCGGCAGAUAAAGAGAAAAUCCAGGCCCUCCCCACCGUCCCCGUCACCGAGGAGCACGCUCCGGGCUCGAGUGCCCUGUGUGCAAGGACGACUACGCGCUGGGUGAGCGUGUGCGGCAGCUGCCCUGCAACCACCUGUUCCACGACGGCUGCAUCGUGCCCUGGCUGGAACAGCACGACAGCUGCCCCGUCUGCCGAAAAAGCCUCACGGGACAGAACACGGCCACGAACCCCCCGGGCCUCACUGGGGUGAGCUUCUCCUCCUCGUCGUCGUCCUCCUCCUCCAGCUCGCCCAGCAACGAGAACGCCACAGGCAACUCGUGAGCCCGCGUCGGCCGCCGGGAAAGCACGGGUCCUUUCCCACCCACCCGCCCGCAGCCGGCGCCACACGGCACCCAUGGACUGGUGCCCCGGCGGGCCACGCUUGGCUGGUCAGUGCUGCAGGUCCCGCCUGUUCCAGGGCAGGAUCCGGGCCCGGCCCACUGGCCCCCUGGCUCGGGAAGGCGUGGACCACAUGGUCCCCGCUGGGGCGUCCCCAGCCUCCCCGUCCUCUCUCUAACCUCACCCUCUAAACGUCAGCGGUGGAAAGAUUUUUAUAAUUUUAAAUUAUUACUGCUUUGAAAUAAAUGGACGUUUUAGCUCACACGGCGGCCAUGCAUGAUUUGUGGCAAAAGACGGGGCGCAGCUGCCCCACAGUGCUGCAGGUGCCGCCAGGACAGGCUGCGUGGGCCCCCGGCCUCCCCUCGGCCGCCUCCACGACCCGGAGUUCGGGGGCUCGGGACCAUGAGGAUGACCAGCAAAAUUCAAGAACAAAAUUGCUCCAACAGACUUUUUUAAAGGAAAAAAUAUGUGUAUCUUGAAAGCUAUUUAAAAUACACUACUUACAAAGAGAA